This is a long non-coding RNA of Macaca fascicularis (crab-eating macaque), 1937 nucleotides long. Lineage: Eukaryota; Metazoa; Chordata; Mammalia; Primates; Cercopithecidae. The record is from Ensembl.
AUAGUAAAUAUAUCUGUAAUGUAUACUUUUUUCUAGUUUGGAACUGCAUCAUCCAUAUAGCUUCUUUUCUGCCCUCUAGACAAGGGCUCCAGGAGAAGUUGACAGAUUCGGUUCUGAGAGCUAAGCUCACCAACUUGUCUCCCCCUCAACAGAUGAGGGAAGGGCAGGGAGCCUCUUCAGUGACUCCUGGCACUGCAGAAUCACUCAUCUUUGGAGGUGAGCAGGGAGAGCUCUGAGGAGUUUCCUCCUUGCAACUCAGGCGGAGAUUUCUUUAACUCAGGAGCAGCCUCCAUUGCUCCCGCCAACCCCUCACCAUGGCCCCUUGUCCCCUUGUCCCAACCAUAGCAUAGAGAUGACAAGAGAGAGGCGGUCCUAUUUCUGAGACUGGACCAAUUAAAAUGACUGCACUGGCUCAAGGACUCUGAACCUGUCUUGUCCUGGGUCCCCCAGUUAUUGGAAGCCACUCUUUUCCCCAACCAUGUUGAAAUGCCACCUUUACCACACACUGAUAUCUUAUAUAGACUUGGAUCUAUUUCUGGAACUUCUCUUCCCUUACCUGGGUGGCUCAUCUGGCACCAGCCAUACAAUUUUAACUAUUCAAUUUCUAAUGUCGAUUUCUAAUGUCUUAUUAUGUGGUGGGAUGAGUCCCUUCACUCUUCUUUUACAAAAUUUCCUAGUUAUUCUCUCACAUCUAUUCUUCCACAUAAACUUUAAAUUGUGCUCAGUCUUCCACCCCCUGUCCCAUUCCCACCCCAAAUCCUGGGCCCUGUCAUUCGCUGUGCCAUCAUCUUCCCCGCAUUGUAAUUACUGUCCACUCAGGGCUGUGAAAUUGAGUAUGUUCUCUAAAGAGGGACAAAAAGGGCAUCCUGAUCUUGAGGGAAGCCUUCUGUUCCUCCCAUCAUUUCACCUGCUCCCUAAGCCCAGGAGUUGUCAUGAGAGGCCACCAGGCCCCCACUCAAUCCCAGCUUGGGAACCAAAGUCACCCACCUUAGUUGUGUUAGGGUGGACCCGUCAACUAUCCCUGGUCCAGAUGAGAAAGAGGAGUCUCUCCCAGGCCUGGAGCUGGGAAAGAAUGUGUGGCCCAGUUGUCUGCACUUCUAAUUCUCAUCAUGGAGAAACCUUUAUUCCUGUCUCCCUUUCCUGAACUGAUUUUUUGUUGUUUUUGUUUCAUUUUGUUUUGGGGGGAUCGUUUCUUGCUCUUUAAUUGGGAGUCUCCAGCACCUUUGGGAUGCAGGCAGUUCUUGCCCAGGCCUUCUCGGAACCCUCACUCCCCUAGCCCACUCUUGCGCUACCUACAGGAGGCUGCCAACCUGGUGCACUCUGACAAGCCUCCCACCCAAAUCUCUCUCCUGCCAUUGUGUCCAAAAUCCCGCCAUUAGAGGAUCUUGUAGGGAGGAGAGUUUCUUGAAGGCUUUUAGGCCUUCCAGAGUCAGGACGGAAGUCAGACAACAGCAGGAAGUCCCCAAGCCUUUUCAAAGUUCCAAACCAAGCUCUCCUGAUUUUAAUGUAGAGAUCAUACCAACCCAGGUGGGGAGGAGGGUCCCCAGCCCCAGGUAGCAGCCAUCACCCCCUCCACUGAAAACGAUGUUGGAGGCUGCUUUGGGACUGCCCUUCUCAGCCCCCUGAGUCUGUUUUGUAAUGCCUGUGGUGCUCUCCCUCCCGGACCUUUCCUCUCGGGGGUCACCACACUUUGCUAACUCUUGUGUGCACAUAUUUUAUAAUAGAGUAGCGAGGGAAUGGUGCCGCCUCCAGCUUCCAUAAGCUGCCCGGGCUCUGGGGUCUCUGGGACAAUCGGGGCUGGGAAGUGACUGUGCUCUUAUUGUACACUCUUUAUUUCUCUGUAUCUUUGGCUUGUGCUCUUUGUAAUUAAUGGGAUUUGUCUGCCUUUUCAACACUAUACUGAGCAAUAACAAUAAAUGCACACGUGGAAAUGCAGA